RNAcentral lists this ribosomal RNA (1369 nucleotides) under metagenome. RNAcentral's name for it is "bacterial LSU rRNA". It matches the Rfam family "Bacterial large subunit ribosomal RNA", at positions 1537 to 2925 of the family's 2925-position model. The record is from RNAcentral.
AAAAUCCGCUUAACAAUCCGAAGACGUGACGCGGACCGAACAAAAGUAGGGAAGCUGGAGAUUCGAACUGUCAAGAAAAGCCGCUAUUGUGUGAUAUGUGCCCGUACCGUAAACCGACACAGGUGGAUGAGGAGAGAAUCCUAAGGCCGGCGGGAGAAGCAUUGUUAAGGAACUCGGCUAAAUGACCCUGUAACUUCGGGAUAAAGGGUGCCUGCGCAAGCAGGCCGCAGAGAAUAGGCUCAAGCAACUGUUUAGCAAAAACACAGGUCUAUGCAAAACCGAAAGGUGAGGUAUAUGGGCUGACGCCUGCCCGGUGCUGGAAGGUUAAGAGGAGAGGUUAGAGCAAUCGAAGCUUUGAAUUUAAGCCCCAGUAAACGGCGGCCGUAACAAUAACGGUCCUAAGGUAGCGAAAUUCCUUGUCGGGUAAGUUCCGACCCGCACGAAAGGCGUAAUGAUUUGAGCGCUGUCUCGACAAUGCACCCGGUGAGAUUGAAAUACCAGUGAAGAUGCUGGUUACCUGCGCCAGGACGGAAAGACCCCAUGGAGCUUUACUCCAGCUUGAUACUGGGAUUCGGUUAUACAUGUACAGGAUAGGUGGGAGGCUAAGAAGUGAGGACGCCAGUCUUCACGGAGCCGCUGUUGGGAUACCACCCUCGUGUGACUGGGUUUCUAACCUGCAGCCGUGACCCGGCUGGGGGACAAUGUCAGGUGGGGAGUUUGACUGGGGCGGUCGCCUCCGAAAGGGUAUCGGAGUCGCUCAAAGGUUCCCUCAGAAUGGUUGGAAACCAUUUGCAGAGUGCAAAGGCAUAAGGGAGCUUGACUGCGAGACCGACGGGUCGAGCAGGUAGGAAACUAGGACUUAGUGAUCCGGUGGUAUAAAGUGGGAUUGCCAUCGCUCAACGGAUAAAAGCUACCCUGGGAUAACAGGCUUAUCACUCCCAAGAGUUCACAUCGACGGAGUGGUUUGGCACCUCGAUGUCGGCUCAUCGCAUCCUGGGGCUGAAGUAGGUCCCAAGGGUUGGGCUGUUCGCCCAUUAAAGCGGUACGCGAGCUGGGUUCAGAACGUCGUGAGACAGUUCGGUCCCUAUCCGGCGUGGGCGUAGGAUAUUUGAGAGGAGCUGUCCUUAGUACGAGAGGACCGGGAUGGACUGACCUCUGGUGCAUCGGUUGAGAAUCAAUCUCAUGGCCGAGUAGCCAAGUCGGGACGGGAUAAACGCUGAAGGCAUCUAAGCGUGAAGCCCCCCUCAAGAUGAGAUAUCCCAUACGCAAGUAGUAAGACCCCUUGAAGACGACGAGGUAGAUAGGGCAGAGGUGGAAGCAUGGUAACAUGUGCAGCUGACUGUCACUAAUAGGUCGAGGGCUUAACCUA